This 27-nucleotide non-coding RNA is filed under the name Homo sapiens (human). Lineage: Eukaryota; Metazoa; Chordata; Mammalia; Primates; Hominidae. The record is from RNAcentral.
UCAGUGGAGUCGACCCUGCAGGUGGGA